UGGGGAAUAUUGGACAAUGGGCGCAAGCCUGAUCCAGCCAUGCCGCGUGUCUGAAGAAGGCCUUCGGGUUGUAAAGGACUUUUGUCAGGGAAGAAAAGGGCGGGGUUAAUACCCCUGUCUGAUGACGGUACCUGAAGAAUAAGCACCGGCUAACUACGUGCCAGCAGCCGCGGUAAUACGUAGGGUGCGAGCGUUAAUCGGAAUUACUGGGCGUAAAGCGGGCGCAGACGGUUACUUAAGCAGGAUGUGAAAUCCCCGGGCUCAACCUGGGAACUGCGUUCUGAACUGCGUGACUAGAGUGUGUCAGAGGGAGGUAGAAUUCCACGUGUAGCAGUGAAAUGCGUAGAGAUGUGGAGGAAUACCGAUGGCGAAGGCAGCCUCCUGGGAUAACACUGACGUUCAUGCCCGAAAGCGUGGGUAGCAAACA
Molecule: ribosomal RNA, 427 nt
Filed under: uncultured bacterium
Lineage: Bacteria
Description: partial 16S ribosomal RNA
Rfam family: Bacterial small subunit ribosomal RNA
Source: RNAcentral